RNAcentral lists this ribosomal RNA (535 nucleotides) under uncultured bacterium. RNAcentral describes it as "bacterial SSU rRNA". It matches the Rfam family "Bacterial small subunit ribosomal RNA", at positions 368 to 917 of the family's 1533-position model. The record is from RNAcentral.
UCANUGGGCGAAGCCUGAUGCAGCAACGCCGCGUGAGGGACGAAGGCUUUCUGAGUUGUAAACCUCUUUCAGCAGGGACGAUUAUGACGGUACCUGCAGGAGAAGCCCCGGCCAACUACGUGCCAGCAGCCGCGGUAAUACGUAGGGGGCGAGCGUUGUCCGGAUUUAUUGGGCGUAAAGAGCUCGUAGGCGGCUUGGCAAGUCGGGUGUGAAACCUCCAGGCUCAACCUGGAGCCGCCAUUCGAUACUGCCAUGGCUUGAGUUUGGUAGGGGACCACGGAAUUCCUGGUGUAGCGGUGAAAUGCGCAGAUAUCAGGAGGAACACCAGCGGCGAAGGCGGUGGUCUGGGCCAAUACUGACGCUGAGGAGCGAAAGCGUGGGGAGCGAACAGGAUUAGAUACCCUGGUAGUCCACGCCGUAAACGUUGGGCACUAGGUGUGGGGACCUAUCGACGGUUUCUGUGCCGCAGCUAACGCAUUAAGUGCCCCGCCUGGGGAGUACGGCCGCAAGGCUAAAACUCAAAAAAAUUGACGGA